UUAAGUUAUUAAGGGCGCACGGUGGAUGCCUUGGCACUAGAAGCCGAUGAAGGACGUUACUAACGACGAUAUGCUUUGGGGAGCUGUAAGUAAGCUUUGAUCCAGAGAUCUCCGAAUGGGGAAACCCAGCAUGAGUUAUGUCAUGUUAUCGAUAUGUGAAUACAUAGCAUAUCAGAAGGCACACCCGGAGAACUGAAACAUCUUAGUACCCGGAGGAAGAGAAAGAAAAUUCGAUUCCCUUAGUAGCGGCGAGCGAAACGGGAAGAGCCCAAACCAACAAGCUUGCUUGUUGGGGUUGUAGGACACUCUAUACGGAGUUACAAAGGACGACAUUAGACGAAUCAUCUGGAAAGAUGAAUCAAAGAAGGUAAUAAUCCUGUAGUCGAAAAUGUUGUCUCUCUUGAGUGGAUCCUGAGUACGACGGAGCACGUGAAAUUCCGUCGGAAUCUGGGAGGACCAUCUCCUAAGGCUAAAUACUCUCUAGUGACCGAUAGUGAACCAGUACCGUGAGGGAAAGGUGAAAAGCACCCCGGAAGGGGAGUGAAAUAGAACCUGAAACCGUGUGCUUACAAGUAGUCAGAGCCCGUUAAUGGGUGAUGGCGUGCCUUUUGUAGAAUGAACCGGCGAGUUACGAUUUGAUGCAAGGUUAAGCAGUAAAUGUGGAGCCGUAGCGAAAGCGAGUCUGAAUAGGGCGUUUAGUAUUUGGUCGUAGACCCGAAACCAGGUGAUCUACCCUUGGUCAGGUUGAAGUUCAGGUAACACUGAAUGGAGGACCGAACCGACUUACGUUGAAAAGUGAGCGGAUGAACUGAGGGUAGCGGAGAAAUUCCAAUCGAACCUGGAGAUAGCUGGUUCUCUCCGAAAUAGCUUUAGGGCUAGCCUCAAGUGAUGAUUAUUGGAGGUAGAGCACUGUUUGGACGAGGGGCCCCUCUCGGGUUACCGAAUUCAGACAAACUCCGAAUGCCAAUUAAUUUAACUUGGGAGUCAGAACAUGGGUGAUAAGGUCCGUGUUCGAAAGGGAAACAGCCCAGACCACCAGCUAAGGUCCCAAAAUAUAUGUUAAGUGGAAAAGGAUGUGGCGUUGCCCAGACAACUAGGAUGUUGGCUUAGAAGCAGCCAUCAUUUAAAGAGUGCGUAAUAGCUCACUAGUCGAGUGACACUGCGCCGAAAAUGUACCGGGGCUAAACAUAUUACCGAAGCUGUGGAUUGUCCUUUGGACAAUGGUAGGAGAGCGUUCUAAGGGCGUUGAAGCAUGAUCGUAAGGACAUGUGGAGCGCUUAGAAGUGAGAAUGCCGGUGUGAGUAGCGAAAGACGGGUGAGAAUCCCGUCCACCGAUUGACUAAGGUUUCCAGAGGAAGGCUCGUCCGCUCUGGGUUAGUCGGGUCCUAAGCUGAGGCCGACAGGCGUAGGCGAUGGAUAACAGGUUGAUAUUCCUGUACCACCUAUAAUCGUUUUAAUCGAUGGGGGGACGCAGUAGGAUAGGCGAAGCGUGCGAUUGGAUUGCACGUCUAAGCAGUAAGGCUGAGUAUUAGGCAAAUCCGGUACUCGUUAAGGCUGAGCUGUGAUGGGGAGAAGACAUUGUGUCUUCGAGUCGUUGAUUUCACACUGCCGAGAAAAGCCUCUAGAUAGAAAAUAGGUGCCCGUACCGCAAACCGACACAGGUAGUCAAGAUGAGAAUUCUAAGGUGAGCGAGCGAACUCUCGUUAAGGAACUCGGCAAAAUGACCCCGUAACUUCGGGAGAAGGGGUGCUCUUUAGGGUUAACGCCCAGAAGAGCCGCAGUGAAUAGGCCCAAGCGACUGUUUAUCAAAAACACAGGUCUCUGCUAAACCGUAAGGUGAUGUAUAGGGGCUGACGCCUGCCCGGUGCUGGAAGGUUAAGAGGAGUGGUUAGCUUCUGCGAAGCUACGAAUCGAAGCCCCAGUAAACGGCGGCCGUAACUAUAACGGUCCUAAGGUAGCGAAAUUCCUUGUCGGGUAAGUUCCGACCCGCACGAAAGGCGUAACGAUUUGGGCACUGUCUCAACGAGAGACUCGGUGAAAUCAUAGUACCUGUGAAGAUGCAGGUUACCCGCGACAGGACGGAAAGACCCCGUGGAGCUUUACUGUAGCCUGAUAUUGAAAUUCGGCACAGCUUGUACAGGAUAGGUAGGAGCCUUUGAAACGUGAGCGCUAGCUUACGUGGAGGCGCUGGUGGGAUACUACCCUAGCUGUGUUGGCUUUCUAACCCGCACCACUUAUCGUGGUGGGAGACAGUGUCAGGCGGGCAGUUUGACUGGGGCGGUCGCCUCCUAAAAGGUAACGGAGGCGCUCAAAGGUUCCCUCAGAAUGGUUGGAAAUCAUUCAUAGAGUGUAAAGGCAUAAGGGAGCUUGACUGCGAGACCUACAAGUCGAGCAGGGUCGAAAGACGGACUUAGUGAUCCGGUGGUUCCGCAUGGAAGGGCCAUCGCUCAACGGAUAAAAGCUACCCCGGGGAUAACAGGCUUAUCUCCCCCAAGAGUUCACAUCGACGGGGAGGUUUGGCACCUCGAUGUCGGCUCAUCGCAUCCUGGGGCUGUAGUCGGUCCCAAGGGUUGGGCUGUUCGCCCAUUAAAGCGGUACGCGAGCUGGGUUCAGAACGUCGUGAGACAGUUCGGUCCCUAUCCGUCGUGGGCGUAGGAAAUUUGAGAGGAGCUGUCCUUAGUACGAGAGGACCGGGAUGGACAUACCUCUGGUGUACCAGUUGUCGUGCCAACGGCAUAGCUGGGUAGCUAUGUGUGGACGGGAUAAGUGCUGAAAGCAUCUAAGCAUGAAGCCCCCCUCAAGAUGAGAUUUCCCAACUUCGGUUAUAAGAUCCCUCAAAGAUGAUGAGGUUAAUAGGUUCGAGGUGGAAGCAUGGUGACAUGUGGAGCUGACGAAUACUAAUCGAUCGAAGACUUAAUCAA
RNAcentral lists this ribosomal RNA (2921 nucleotides) under Staphylococcus aureus. RNAcentral's name for it is "bacterial LSU rRNA". It matches the Rfam family "Bacterial large subunit ribosomal RNA". The record is from RNAcentral. Lineage: Bacteria; Bacillati; Bacillota; Bacilli; Caryophanales; Staphylococcaceae.